This 232-nucleotide small RNA is filed under the name Methylobacterium nodulans ORS 2060. Its description in RNAcentral is "Alphaproteobacterial sRNA ar45". It matches the Rfam family "Alphaproteobacterial sRNA ar45". Lineage: Bacteria; Pseudomonadati; Pseudomonadota; Alphaproteobacteria; Hyphomicrobiales; Methylobacteriaceae. The record is from Rfam by way of RNAcentral.
GCCCAAUUUCGCACGUGCCUGUGGCCGCGUGCCGGUUGGUGGGCAUCCGGACAAGAGGCCGGACAGCCGCCAGGGAUCUUAAAGGAGCGGUGGUCGACAGGGGUGGAACCCUCCGGCCGUCCUCCAGGUCUUCACGGACCGGACCCCGACAACAACCGGCAGCCGGAGGCGAAACCGGCGAACCCCGCUCUCCACGGGGGACGCAGCUUAAAGCAACGACGAACGGGCUUUU